This 465-nucleotide ribosomal RNA is filed under the name Vreelandella stevensii. Its description in RNAcentral is "partial 16S ribosomal RNA". It matches the Rfam family "Bacterial small subunit ribosomal RNA", at positions 338 to 795 of the family's 1533-position model. Lineage: Bacteria; Pseudomonadati; Pseudomonadota; Gammaproteobacteria; Oceanospirillales; Halomonadaceae. The record is from RNAcentral.
CCUACGGGUGGCAGCAGUGGGGAAUAUUGGACAAUGGGGGGAACCCUGAUCCAGCCAUGCCGCGUGUGUGAAGAAGGCCCUCGGGUUGUAAAGCACUUUCAGUGAGGAAGAACGCCUGGUGGUUAAUACCCAUCAGGAAAGACAUCACUCACAGAAGAAGCACCGGCUAACUCCGUGCCAGCAGCCGCGGUAAUACGGAGGGUGCGAGCGUUAAUCGGAAUUACUGGGCGUAAAGCGCGCGUAGGUGGCUUGAUAAGCCGGUUGUGAAAGCCCCGGGCUCAACCUGGGAACGGCAUCCGGAACUGUCAAGCUAGAGUGCAGGAGAGGAAGGUAGAAUUCCCGGUGUAGCGGUGAAAUGCGUAGAGAUCGGGAGGAAUACCAGUGGUGAAGGCGGCCUUCUGGACUGACACUGACACUGAGGUGCGAAAGCGUGGGUAGCAAACAGGAUUAGAUACCCUGGUAGUC